Molecule: non-coding RNA, 681 nt
Organism: Malus domestica (apple)
Lineage: Eukaryota; Viridiplantae; Streptophyta; Magnoliopsida; Rosales; Rosaceae
Source: RefSeq, a predicted model, not a curated record
ACUGAAGCUCUGCGACUGCAGAUGGAAGUUCAGAAGCGACUGCAUGAACAGCUUGAGAUUCAAAGAAAUCUGCAGUUACGAAUAGAAGAACAAGGGAAGUAUCUUCAAAUGAUGUUUGAGAAGCAAUGCAAGUCAGGCAUCGACACGCUGAACCCAUCAUCAUCCAAUUUGGACGACCCCUCCGCUCAGCCUUCAGAUGCAACGCAAGUUUGUCUCGACAAAAGUGAACCGGAGUCUUCCAAGUUGGGCCAAGGCGAGACUCAAACUGAUCCAGUUAAAGCCAACUCCACAUCAUCAGGUGGUUCACAGGAACCGGAAGGGAAGCAGAAGGCACCUGAAACGGAAACUGUUCCCCAGAAUCCCGAGCCAGAUGUCGGUGAGGCCAGUUCCCAACCUCCAAGGCGUGCCAAAAUCAAAGAAUAGGUCAUAAAUCAUCUGUUAUAGGUGGUCUAAAAUUUUAAGAUAGGCAUGUUUGCCUUUUGAAAGAUCUUCCGUGAUUUUAAGAAGAGAAAUAUUCACAGAUAUGCAGCAAGCUCUUUUGGCCAAGGGAUCCGACUUUAAAUGUUCUUUGCUUCAUUACUUUUACAAGCUUGAUUACUAUUGUAAUAAAUUCAAGGGUAAAAGACUGUUAACUACCCUCAUGUUUCGUGGUUUUCAACAUUUAGUACAUCAAGUUUUUUU